RNAcentral lists this ribosomal RNA (482 nucleotides) under uncultured bacterium. Its description in RNAcentral is "partial 16S ribosomal RNA". It matches the Rfam family "Bacterial small subunit ribosomal RNA", at positions 28 to 506 of the family's 1533-position model. The record is from RNAcentral.
GACGAACGCUGGCGGCGUGCUUAACACAUGCAAGUCGAACGCUGAAGCUCAGCUUUUGUUGGGUGGAUGAGUGGCGAACGGGUGAGUAACACGUGAGUAACCUGCCCCCUUCUUUGGGAUAACGCCCGGAAACGGGUGCUAAUACUGGAUAUUCACUGGUCUUCGCAUGGGGGUUGGUGGAAAGGGUUUUUCUGGUGGGGGAUGGGCUCGCGGCCUAUCAGCUUGUUGGUGGGGUGAUGGCCUACCAAGGCUUUGACGGGUAGCCGGCCUGAGAGGGUGACCGGUCACAUUGGGACUGAGAUACGGCCCAGACUCCUACGGGAGGCAGCAGUGGGGAAGAUUGCACAAUGGGCGCAAGCCUGAUGCAGCGACGCCGCGUGAGGGAUGGAGGCCUUCGGGUUGUGAACCUCUUUCGCUCAUGGUCAAGCCGCAACAAUGGUUGUGGUGAGGGUAGUGGGUAAAGAAGCGCCGGCUAACUACGU